RNAcentral lists this ribosomal RNA (930 nucleotides) under Amischa analis. RNAcentral describes it as "SSU rRNA". It matches the Rfam family "Eukaryotic small subunit ribosomal RNA", at positions 440 to 1299 of the family's 1831-position model. Lineage: Eukaryota; Metazoa; Arthropoda; Insecta; Coleoptera; Staphylinidae. The record is from RNAcentral.
AUUACCCACUCCCAGCACGGGGAGGUAGUGACGAAAAAUAACGAUACGGGACUCAUCCGAGGCCCCGUAAUCGGAAUGAGUACAAUUUAAAACUUUUUCCGAGGAUCAAUUGGAGGGUAAGUCUGGUGCCAGCAGCCGCGGUAAUUCCAGCUCCAAUAGCGUAUAUUAAAGUUGUUGCGGUUAAAAAGCUCGUAGUCGAAUCUGUGUCCCGCGCCGCUGGUUCAUCGCUCGCGGUGUUCAACUGGCGUGUUUCGCGGGACGUCCUGCCGGUGGGCGCUCGUAUCGUUUCGGCGGUGCGUGGCCCAGCUCGUAGCCGUCUCGCGCGGUUGCGAAUCUCAUCGCGGUGCUCUUUAUUGAGUGUCGAGGUGGGCCGGCACGUUUACUUUGAACAAAUUAGAGUGCUUAAAGCAGGCCAAUUUUGCCUGAAUAUUGUGUGCAUGGAAUAAUGGAAUAGGACCUCGGUUCUAUUUUGUUGGUUUUCGGAACCCCGAGGUAAUGAUUAAUAGGAACGGAUGGGGGCAUUCGUAUUGCGACGUUAGAGGUGAAAUUCUUGGAUCGUCGCAAGACGGACAGAAGCGAAAGCAUUUGCCAAAAACGCUUUCAUUGAUCAAGAACGAAAGUUAGAGGUUCGAAGGCGAUCAGAUACCGCCCUAGUUCUAACCAUAAACGAUGCCAGCUAGCGAUCCGCCGACGUUCCUCCGAUGACUCGGCGGGCAGCUUCCGGGAAACCAAAGCUUUUGGGUUCCGGGGGAAGUAUGGUUGCAAAGCUGAAACUUAAAGGAAUUGACGGAAGGGCACCACCAGGAGUGGAGCCUGCGGCUUAAUUUGACUCAACACGGGACACCUCACCAGGCCCGGACACCGGAAGGAUUGACAGAUUGAUAGCUCUUUCUUGAUUCGGUGGGUGGUGGUGCAUGGCCGUUCUUAGUU